Molecule: ribosomal RNA, 468 nt
Filed under: uncultured bacterium
Lineage: Bacteria
Description: partial 16S ribosomal RNA
Rfam family: Bacterial small subunit ribosomal RNA
Source: RNAcentral
GACGAACGCUGGCGGCGUGCUUAACACAUGCAAGUCGAACGGAAAGGCCCUGCGUUUGUGGGGUGCUCGAGUGGCGAACGGGUGAGUAACACGUGAGUAACCUGCCCUUGACUUUGGGAUAACUUCAGGAAACUGGGGCUAAUACCGGAUAGGAGCUCCUGCUGCAUGGUGGGGGUUGGAAAGUUUCGGCGGUUGGGGAUGGACUCGCGGCUGAUCAGCUUGUUGGUGGGGUAGUGGCUUACCAAGGCUGUGACGGGUAGCCGGCCUGAGAGGGUGACCGGCCACAAUAGGACUGAGAUACGGCGCAGACUCCUACGGGAGGCAGCAGUGGGGAAUAUUGCACAAUGGGCGGAAGCCUGAUGCAGCAACGCCGCGUGCGGGAUGACGGCCUUCGGGUUGUAAACCGCUUUCGCCUGUGACGAAGCGUGAGUGACGGUAAUGGGUAAAGAAGCACCGGCUAACUACGUG